Molecule: long non-coding RNA, 2475 nt
Organism: Oncorhynchus gorbuscha (pink salmon)
Lineage: Eukaryota; Metazoa; Chordata; Actinopteri; Salmoniformes; Salmonidae
Exons: 2
Source: RefSeq, a predicted model, not a curated record
ACUUUGGGACCGGGGUGCUCGUUGAGAAGAGUAAGAACGAUACGUGCUUUCACGUCUCCAAUAACACCAGAAAGGGGUCUGAAUACUAAAGGGGUCUGAAUUCUCGCUAAAUAUAGCGACACAUUCGCCAAGUUGGCAACACUGGGUUCCCACUAGUUACCACAGCCACAAAGCUGUGUCAUACUACUUCAAUAUUGACUAUAUUGUAAAAAUGCAUGAAAACACAAAUUUGCUUUAUGGUCUUCAUUUAAAGGUUAGGGUUAGGGUUAGGCAUAAGGUUAGCAGUGUGGUUAAUGUUAGGUUUAACAUCAGAUUUGAAGAAGAAAUGGUAGAAUUAAGCGGGGUUAAUAAUUUUGUGGAUGUGGUAACUAGUGACGACCCCGGAGGUGGAGGCUAGGACAGCAGGACGUUCUCGCGCCUGCUCAUCAGGUAGAAUGUUUCAAAUUGGGUGUGGCUUACCUAUUUUUGUUUUUGACUGUUGUUGUUUCUUCAGAGGCGAUAGGGGUCGUGAAUCGUUUUUUAAGUGUUAGGUAUAUCAUAUGGGACUAUUUUCUAGAGAUAUAUACCUAGACGUGUUAAAACCGUCCACACCUGUUUGGAGCUGAACCUCAUCUGAGUUCUGGAGUUUGUAAGCUUGCCUUAAGUUCUCAAGUGAGAUCUAUACAAGGGUCAGGAUGGCUGAGACUGAGCCAUGGAUCGGGACUGGAGGUCCAUGGGAAGCCACUGUCCAUCGCCUCCCUGUCUCAUGGAUCAAACAAUGGCUGUGGCAUCCUCCAACCUCCAGACCCAAGGUUGAAGACCUGGAGAGACAUUAUGCAGGACUGUUAGAAGACAGCACUACCAGUCCCUCCAGUUGCUGCUCUCGCCAGCGCAUCCUCCUGGCCAUCCUCAUCAUGGUGGCCCUGACAGUCAUGGCACUGCUGCUACUGUGGAACUACCAGUGCAUCAUGGUGUGGCACCUCUGCCAGGAAGAGCACUCUGGCUUCCCUAAGAUGAUGGAAGGGGGUAUAGGACUGGCACGUUGGGGGAGAGACUAGGGCAGCUUGAACAGGUUUAAGGUGUGAUAAUGCGAAAGCACAUUAACCCUAUCCAAACAUAUAGACCUGCUAGCUCAUUUUUGUCCUGAUUUUGUUUGUUUUUCUGCUUGGAUUCUAUGGUGCUAUACAUUUUGCACAAUGUUAGUUUUUCCAUAUAAGUUAUGAACAGGUGACAGGUUUUUCAGUUACUGUCAGAUUUGUUUGUUUGAAACUCGGGUUCAGAAAUAAACAAGGCCAAAAGUAUGUGGACAGCUUAUUCCAAAAUCAUGGGCAUUUAAUAUGGAGUUGGUCCUCCCUUUGAUGCAAUAACAGCCUCCACUCUUCUGGGAAGGAAACUUGUUGUUAGAACAUUGCUGCAGGGACUUGCUUCCAUUCAGCCACAAGCAUUAGUGAGGUUGGGCACUGAUGUUGGGCGAUUAGGCCUGACUCGCAGUCUGCGUUCCGAUUCAUCCCAAAGGUGUUCGAUUGGGGUGAUGACACGGCUCUGUUGGUCAGUCAAGUUCUUCCACGCCGAUCUUGAAAAAACAUUUCUGUAUGGACCUCGCUUUGUGCACAGGGGCGUUGUCCUGCUGAAACAGGAAAGGGCCUUCCCAAACUGUCGCCACAAAGUUGAAAGCGCAGAAUUGUCUAGAAUGUUGUGUGCUGUUUCAUUAAGAACCAUAAAAAAACGCCCCAGACCAUUAUUCCUCCUCCACCAAACUUUACAGCACUAUGCACUCGGCCAUCCCGUUCUGUGAGCUUGUGUGGCUUACAACUUCGCAGCUGAGCCAUUGUUGCUCCUAGAAGUUUCCACUUCACAAUAACAGCACUUAUAGUUGACUGGGGUAGCUCUAGCAGGGCAGACAUUUGAUAAACUGAGUUGUUGGAAAUGUGCAUCCUAUGACGGUGACACAUUUGAAAGUCACUGAGCUCUUCAGUAUGGGCCAAUCUACUGCCAAUGUUUGUCUAUAGAGAGUGCAUGGAAGUGUGCUCAAUUUAAUAGAACUGUCAGCAACGGAUGUGGCUUAAAUAGCUGAAUCCACUCAUUUGAAAGGGUGUCCACAUACUUUUGUAUAAAACACACUUUCAAUGGUUUAUUUUUGCCAUGUGUAUUACUCAAGCUGGAAUAUAUAAACUCUUAUGCUCUUAUUUCUUUUGUGAAUAUUAGAGGGUGAUUUUAUAUUUUGUAAGUGUUCCUACACUAGAAAUAAAGAUACUUGUUUGUCAUAUUAAGCUUGAUGCAAGUUUGCCAACCUACUAUAGUUUUGUUGUAUUUUACCACAAGGGGGAGUUAUUGUCCAUAAAUAAAACAUCAAGUCCCAGCUCUGAUGUUUCAAGGUGCAGCACUAACUGUUGUUUUGCAUGUCUUUUGGGGUUGAAGGUGGUCUCACUGAUUUUCCUGCUAAUUUAAACCAAGGGUUGGAUAAAAAUAAAUAAAACAGUGUGGCUCUCAAAUGGA